RNAcentral lists this ribosomal RNA (1141 nucleotides) under uncultured Synechocystis sp. RNAcentral's name for it is "bacterial SSU rRNA". It matches the Rfam family "Bacterial small subunit ribosomal RNA", at positions 376 to 1533 of the family's 1533-position model. The record is from RNAcentral. Lineage: Bacteria; Bacillati; Cyanobacteriota; Cyanophyceae; Synechococcales; Merismopediaceae.
CGAAAGCCUGACGGAGCAAUACCGCGUGAGGGAGGAAGGCUUUUGGGUUGUAAACCUCUUUUGUCAGGGAAGAAAAUUUGACGGUACCUGAAGAAAAAGCAUCGGCUAACUCCGUGCCAGCAGCCGCGGUAAUACGGAGGAUGCAAGCGUUAUCCGGAAUAAUUGGGCGUAAAGGGUCCGCAGGUGGCCAUUCAAGUCUGCUGUCAAAGACCGUGGCUCAACCACGGAAAGGCAGUGGAAACUGUUUAGCUAGAGUACGGUAGGGGUAGAGGGAAUUCCCAGUGUAGCGGUGAAAUGCGUAGAUAUUGGGAAGAACACCGGUGGCGAAAGCGCUCUACUGGGCCGAAACUGACACUGAGGGACGAAAGCUAGGGUAGCGAAAGGGAUUAGAUACCCCUGUAGUCUUAGCUGUAAACGAUGGAUACUAGGUGUAGCUUGUAUCGACCCGAGCUGUGCCGAAGCUAACGCGUUAAGUAUCCCGCCUGGGGAGUACGCACGCAAGUGUGAAACUCAAAGGAAUUGACGGGGGCCCGCACAAGCGGUGGAGUAUGUGGUUUAAUUCGAUGCAACGCGAAGAACCUUACCAGGGCUUGACAUGUGGCGAAUCUCUGUGAAAGCAGGGAGUGCCUUAGGGAGCGCCAACACAGGUGGUGCAUGGCUGUCGUCAGCUCGUGUCGUGAGAUGUUGGGUUAAGUCCCGCAACGAGCGCAACCCUCGUUUUUAGUUGCCAUUUUAAUGGCUCUCUAGAGAGACUGCCGGGGACAACUCGGAGGAAGGUGGGGAUGACGUCAAGUCAGCAUGCCCUUUACGCCCUGGACUACACACGUACUACAAUGGUUGGGACAAAGGGCAGCAAACCCGCGAGGGCAAGCGAAUCUCAUCAAACCCAGCCUCAGUUCAGAUUGCAGGCUGCAACUCGCCUGCAUGAAGGAGGAAUCGCUAGUAAUCGCAGGUCAGCAUACUGCGGUGAAUUCGUUCCCGGGCCUUGUACACACCGCCCGUCACACCAUGGAAGCUGGCUACGCCCGAAGUCGUUACCCUAACCCUUAGGGGAGGGGGAUGCCGAAGGUAGAGCUAGUGACUGGGGUGAAGUCGUAACAAGGUAGCCGUACCGGAAGGUGUGGCUGGAUCACCUCCUUUA